UCAAAGACAUCCAACACUAGCAUAGCUCUCAUACUAAGCAAUCUACCGAGUCAGUGAUUCCAAAAGAUAGCCAGCCAGUCCAUCGAUAAUUCUGUCGUCUAGGCUAUGGACCACUAAUUGUUUAGGGAAAUUUUCUUUGAUCUUUUUUGGGUUUCAAAACAAUGUGGGGGAUGGGGCUGCUUUCCUCGUCCUGCAGAAACUAACAACAUGGUAAUUCUUUGCAUUCCAUUUCCAGUUGUUCUUAGUGAGAUACUUUUGGUCCACCCUAGCAUUUCUUGGCAAGUCUUGUUAGCAUUGCCCAUUUGAUGUAACGGUUAAGAGUGCUACUGCCUGAUUCGUAUUACACAAUUCUGGAAGCAGGUAGGUUUCUUGGAAAAAUUUUCUGGUAGUCCACUAGUGAAGCACUUCUUCAACGAAGAAAAUGGAUAAAGAGAGCACUUCUACACAUAAGCAAUGAAGCACCAACUAAUAUUCCCAUGGAAUUCUGUACGUAAUAUGUUUAACAUCUUUGCAGUUCCCAAGGCCUUUAACUGGAUUAUUUAUCGAGAGGUAAGAAUCACACUGUGGUGUCACCGCCAGACACCACGCUUGCUAGGUGGUAGCCUUUAAAUCGGCAGCGGUCCAGUAGUAUACGUCGGACCCGCAUGUCGCCACUAUCAAUGAUUGCAGACCGAGCGCCGCCACACAGCAGGUCUAGAGAGACUUCCUAGCACUCGUCCCAGUUGUACAGCCGACUUUGCUAGCGAUGGUUCACUGACAAAUUACGCUCUCAUUUGCCGAGACGAUAGUUAGCAUAGCCUUCAGCUACGUUAUUUGCUACGACCAAGCAAGGCGCCAGUAUCCGUACUAUUGAUAUUGUGAAUCAUGUACCAUAAAGAGCGAUGUUCUCCAUGAAUGGAUUAAAGUUAAGUAUUCCACCAGCUACGUCCGUUUUUCUCAGUUCUAAUGCCCUUGUCAUGUUCCAGACCUCACGCCAGCCUGUGUGAGCUGAGACGCAUGCAUUUCGGCCUCCUUUAGUACCAAGUAGUUGGCUCUCCUGCCAGCCACAACAUUGGUGACAAGACAAUACCGCGUUCUUUUCUAAAGUGCCCUGACUUACUUGUGUAAUGGCUUCGCCACAAUCUCCAGAUGUACUGUCCGAAUUUUAUCGCUUACAGAAUCAGCAGACGCAGGCCUUACUGGAUGCCCUUGGAGAGCUUGUCCAGGGUCAACGUGCGAUGCAAAACGGUGCGGCGGAAGCCGCUUCACCGCUAACGCAGCCACAACACGCUGUUGCACCCACUUUUCGACCUUUUGAUGCUGCACUGGAAAGCUGGACGGAGUGGUUACAGCAAUUUGGAUUCCAUCUUGCCGCCUACAGAAUUCAAGAAGAUGUGACAUCCUCACAAGACUGGAUCCAGUGACAGCAUCUGGAAGGACACGCUCUCUCCCUGCAUCAAAUCUGAUGAACGUUAACAAUUUAUUUUGGAGACUUGUGAAAAGAGCUGUAACCAUUUUUUAUUGUCUUUUCGUUAAAGCUACACUGUAAAUGGUUCAUAAUACCAAUACAAUAAUAGAAACCAUAUUUUUGUACAUGACUUCCAAAUUGCAUUUAUUAGUAAUUUGUCUUUCAUUUUUAUGUGAUAUCUUCUGCGUUUUGAUAGUGUACUGAUGCUGACAAAAUAAAGUUUUGGUCAUGAUGCCUUUAGUGUGAUAUCUUGAUAUUUACCAUGUCUAUAGUGAAAUAUAUGAAUAACACAUUAUAUUUUUUUAAAAAAAAAUGUUACAGUGCGGUGUUUUGAGAUAUUUAAUGUCAAAGGUUAAGGUCAAUGACCUUUAAUGUGAAAAUUCUUAAAAAACCACCAUGUUGCAUAUCAAUGUAAAGAUCUAAUCAUUAGCUUUACAAUGAUGUUUCUUUGCUGUAUCUGGAUUGCAACCAGGACUAUAGUCAUUAUGUUGAGAUAGAUACUUGUAAAUUUCACACAACUUCCAAACUUUUACAGACCUGAAACAUUCUCCAUAGUCGUCAUAUACCUCUGCAAAUAGAUAAUUUUCCAUGUCUUAUGCAGACCAUAGAAUGCACCAAAUUUGAAAGAAAUUCGAGAUGGUCUCGUUGAAAAUUUUACUUUUCUAUGUUGAAUUGACAUAGUAUUACCAAUAGAUAUAUUUAACAUAAGAGUGGGAUACAAAGGGAGAAGAAGUUACAUAUCAUGUACCACCUCAGACUGUAUGCCCAGGGACCUCAAUACAUGGGAAUGAAAAUCUGUAAUAAAUUAAAAGGUAACAAGUUGAUGCAGGUGAAUUUAGGUUCACUUAAAAGAAAGCAGUAUGAGGUACUGACACUGAAGUGUUAAUACUCAGUGGAUAAAGUCAUGUGGGACAAACUGGAAAUAUGAGCUGGGUAGAAUGUGUUACACAGUCCAAGAAAUAUCCUUAUUGUGUUGUUAUUUAUUAUAGUGCUGUUAUUUAUUAAUGUAAAAAUCAUUGUAAUUGUUUUAUAAAUUUUUGACAUGUCUCCUGUACGGAAACCAAAUGGAUUGCAAAUGUACAUCAGUAGAUGAAUAAAUACAGUUCACAAAUCUACAA
Molecule: long non-coding RNA, 2565 nt
Organism: Schistocerca gregaria
Lineage: Eukaryota; Metazoa; Arthropoda; Insecta; Orthoptera; Acrididae
Exons: 2
Source: RefSeq, a predicted model, not a curated record